This 31-nucleotide non-coding RNA is filed under the name Mus musculus (house mouse). Lineage: Eukaryota; Metazoa; Chordata; Mammalia; Rodentia; Muridae. The record is from RNAcentral.
UGACAUUUCUAACCACUCAAAUACAAAAUGU